Long non-coding RNA from Carassius auratus (goldfish), 1684 nucleotides. RefSeq lists it as uncharacterized. The record is from RefSeq and is a predicted model, not a curated record. The transcript has 2 exons. Lineage: Eukaryota; Metazoa; Chordata; Actinopteri; Cypriniformes; Cyprinidae.
AAUAAAAUGUACAUUUGUUACAAUAGUAAUACUACAAUAACAUGUUGCUACAAUAGUAGUAGUAUAUUAUUAAACGGUUACAUUUUCUUAUUCACAAUACAAAAUGAUGAUUAAUAUGCAUUAUAUAUUUAUAUACUGGCAUUUCAAAAACGUUGUUUCUCCUGCAGUUGACACAUUUUCUGGUCUUUCUGGUUUCCUGCUCAUUUUUGUUGCUGAACACAUGGCACGAGGCUCUGCUGAGUGGUGAAGGGAACUCAGUUCAUUCACACAUGCAAUCAGACGGCUAUCAGAUCCAAGGACAAGCAAAUAAAAGCGGCCUGUAUCAAGAGCUCUCGUUCUGCAAUCACAAACAAGCCCAACGCCAAAUCUGCACCUCCCAACGUCCCGUCACAGCAUGAGCUGCAGCAGUGGAAACACAUUCACUACACUGUUUGUCAACACCUCUCAGAAAUUAGCUAUGAUUAUGUGAGCCAUUUGGGAAAUUGAAUGGAAUAAACUUAUUUCAGUGCACUGGGGAUCUUUUCACACUUCUGAAAUCUCUCGGCUUUUAAAACAGAGACAUAUUUCAAUCACUGAUUCCAUGUUUAAAGAGGCUUUUUGGGUGGUUUGACCUCUAUUUAUUUCUCACAAGUGUCUUAAUGAUUCUUCUCAUGGCUGCAGGUGUCAUAGGUUCAUUAAAACCGUUCGUGUUAAGAGGAAAUGGUGCUUCUAAAGGUUUUUUUUCUGAAGCACUCACAGGUUUUGGGUUAGUGACCUCGUCCCCACGUCACGGCCGAUCAAUACUUCGCUAAGCUUAUCACAAAACUGUUUGACUAAACCCCCUCUAGCUACAUAUAUGGAGGUUAAAGGAGAGCAGAAUGACCAGUCGUGACAGAGACUUUCUUGCCGUCUGUGGAUCUCUGGAAGAGACGAUGGGUGGUUAUGAGAGCGUGUGAGUGUAUUAUAAAGGGUAUUGUGUGUUAGAGUGUUUUUUACUGCUCUCAGUAUUUCUACAGCAUGGAGGGUCACGUGGAUCAGUCAUCUUUACCGGAUAGGGUAUGUGCUCAAUAAUGGGAGGACCGUCUAAUGAAGAAGGCAUAACUAAUCAUUUAGAGGAGACCAUCUGCACGGUUCCCGUCACGAUCCACUCCACUGACAGAAAUGUGAUAACAUUUACACCUGACCAGAGCACGAGCCAGCUGCUGAACCCAGGGUGACACGUACAGACCUGGUUCAUGAAGUACUGUUAGAUCAUUCUGAGGGAUUCAGUAAAAGAACAGCUAUUAUAAGUGAAAAAGAUGACUUUAAUAAACGAGUACACUAAAGGUCUGUCGUCCUCCUGAGCUGUGGAGUGUGACAAUGGUGUUUGUAUCCUGUGUUGUCAAACGCCAUUAUCACACUAAAUAGCCACGGUGAGACCUCACAACCACCUCAGCCAGUCAGCUCAGAGAAACAUGAUCAUGAUGAUGGAUUCUACUGUGGGAAUAUGAAACUGAAUAUGUGUGUGUGUGUGUGUGUUUGCUUAAUUUUUAAAAGAUGUUGAUAAUUUGGCAUCUGACAAAUAGAUCAUAAUAGAUCAUGUUUGCUAUAUGUGUGCACUGACCCAGUUGCCAGACAGUGUGUGUGUCAUGGUAUUUCUUGUUCUUUAUUAGUAUGGUAUCUUUAUGACAAUAAAAAAUAAGGAUGCAUUAAAUUGAUCAAAAGC